RNAcentral lists this ribosomal RNA (520 nucleotides) under uncultured Hanseniaspora. RNAcentral's name for it is "eukaryotic LSU rRNA". It matches the Rfam family "Eukaryotic large subunit ribosomal RNA", at positions 62 to 586 of the family's 3401-position model. Lineage: Eukaryota; Fungi; Ascomycota; Saccharomycetes; Saccharomycodales; Saccharomycodaceae. The record is from RNAcentral.
AAACCAACCGGGAUUGCCUCAGUAACGGCGAGUGAAGCGGCAAAAAGCUCAAAUUUGAAAUCUGGCACUUUCAGUGUCCGAGUUGUAAUUUGUAGAAGUAGUUUUGGGACUGGUCCUUAUCUAUGUUUCUUGGAACAGGACGUCAUAGAGGGUGAGAACCCCGUAUGAUGAGGCCCCCAGUCCUUUGUAAAACGCUUUCGAAGAGUCGAGUUGUUUGGGAAUGCAGCUCUAAGUGGGUGGUAAAUUCCAUCUAAAGCUAAAUAUUGGCGAGAGACCGAUAGCGAACAAGUACAGUGAUGGAAAGAUGAAAAGAACUUUGAAAAGAGAGUGAAAAAGUACGUGAAAUUGUUGAAAGGGAAGGGCAUUUGAUCAGACAUGGUGUUUUGCGCCCUUUGCUCCUUGUGGGCGGAGGAUACGCAGCUCACUGGGCCAACAUCGAGUUUUGGGAGCAGGAUAAAUCCUGUAGGAACCGUAGCUUUCUUCGGGAAGUGUUAUAGCCUACGGGAUACUGCUACUGGGA